CUACAAGCCAAGAGAAGAAGCCUCAGAAUGAAACCAGCCUGGCUAGCACUUUGCCCUAGGACUUCCCAGCCUCUGGAACUGGUGGCUGUCCACACCAGCUGUGCACCUCCUCUGGACCAUACUGAAAAAGCUGCUGCCUUGUUCAGGAUGAAGACUUAAGAGUGAUUCAAAAGAUGGGACACAUGAAGACUCUGCCUUAGGGUCAUCUUUCCUCCCUGCUGAACUUGGUAACAGAGUGGAGAACUUAGC
Lutra lutra (Eurasian river otter) is the source of this 249-nucleotide long non-coding RNA. RefSeq lists it as uncharacterized. The record is from RefSeq and is a predicted model, not a curated record. The transcript is spliced from 3 exons. Lineage: Eukaryota; Metazoa; Chordata; Mammalia; Carnivora; Mustelidae.